GGCUCCAUGGUCAAGCGGUUAAGACAUCGCCCUUUCACGGCGGUAACAGGGGUUCAAAUCCCCUUGGAGUCACUA
This 75-nucleotide transfer RNA is filed under the name Marvinbryantia formatexigens. RNAcentral describes it as "tRNA_Glu_TTC". It matches the Rfam family "tRNA". Rfam says of the family: Transfer RNA (tRNA) molecules are approximately 80 nucleotides in length. Their secondary structure includes four short double-helical elements and three loops (D, anti-codon, and T loops). The record is from RNAcentral. Lineage: Bacteria; Bacillati; Bacillota; Clostridia; Lachnospirales; Lachnospiraceae. RNAcentral also lists the same sequence under 1 other name.